CCCUACGGGGUGCACCAGGCGCGAAACCUCUGCAAUAAGCGAAAGCUUGACAGGGUUACUCUGAGUGAUUUCCGCUAAGGAAAUCUUUUGGCACCUCUAAAAAUGGUGCAGAAUAAGGGGUGGGCAAGUCUGGUGUCAGCCGCCGCGGUAA
Molecule: ribosomal RNA, 151 nt
Filed under: uncultured crenarchaeote
Lineage: Archaea; Thermoproteati; Thermoproteota
Description: partial 16S ribosomal RNA
Rfam family: Archaeal small subunit ribosomal RNA
Source: RNAcentral